Tursiops truncatus (common bottlenose dolphin) is the source of this 86-nucleotide non-coding RNA. The record is from Rfam. Lineage: Eukaryota; Metazoa; Chordata; Mammalia; Artiodactyla; Delphinidae.
ACGAAGCCCAUGCUAGGGGCCCUGAGGAAGGGUCUGGAAAAGGGGGAGGGGGAGUGAGUGUGCGACCCCCAAACAAAGAAGGGGGG